Molecule: ribosomal RNA, 500 nt
Filed under: uncultured bacterium
Lineage: Bacteria
Description: partial 16S ribosomal RNA
Rfam family: Bacterial small subunit ribosomal RNA
Source: RNAcentral
AUUGAACGCUGGCGGCAUGCCUUACACAUGCAAGUCGAACGGCAGCACGGGAGCAAUCCUGGUGGCGAGUGGCGAACGGGUGAGUAAAGUAUCGGAACGUGCCCAGUCGUGGGGGAUAACGUAGCGAAAGUUACGCUAAUACCGCAUACGAUCUAUGGAUGAAAGCGGGGGAUCGCAAGACCUCGCGCGAUUGGAGCGGCCGAUAUCAGAUUAGGUAGUUGGUGGGGUAAAGGCUCACCAAGCCGACGAUCUGUAGCUGGUCUGAGAGGACGACCAGCCACACUGGGACUGAGACACGGCCCAGACUCCUACGGGAGGCAGCAGUGGGGAAUUUUGGACAAUGGGCGCAAGCCUGAUCCAGCAAUGCCGCGUGCAGGAAGAAGGCCUUCGGGUUGUAAACUGCUUUUGUACGGAACGAAAAGGCUCUGGAUAAUACCUGGGGCUCAUGACGGUACCGUAAGAAUAAGCACCGGCUAACUACGUGCCAGCAGCCGCUGUAA